RNAcentral lists this long non-coding RNA (211 nucleotides) under Homo sapiens (human). RNAcentral's name for it is "non-protein coding lnc-GGACT-2:1". The record is from RNAcentral. Lineage: Eukaryota; Metazoa; Chordata; Mammalia; Primates; Hominidae.
GGUCCCAAUGGCAUGGCCACGGUGCGUGCCAUGGCUUCUGGAGGUGGUGUCGUUUCUAUUGAUAACAAGUAGGUGACUGGCCUAGAGAUGGAGGUCAUGAUGACUGCAAGGAAGAGACUGGACCCAUACAAUGUACUACCCCCAAAGACAGCUUUAGGCACCAAGGAAGACCCUAAUUUAGUCCCCUCCAUCACCAACAAGAGAAUAGUGG